This 253-nucleotide ribosomal RNA is filed under the name uncultured bacterium. RNAcentral describes it as "partial 16S ribosomal RNA". It matches the Rfam family "Bacterial small subunit ribosomal RNA", at positions 524 to 776 of the family's 1533-position model. The record is from RNAcentral.
UACGAAGGGGGCUAGCGUUGUUCGGAUUUACUGGGCGUAAAGCGCACGUAGGCGGAUUUUUAAGUCGGGGGUGAAAUCCUGGAGCUCAACUCCAGAACUGCCUUCGAUACUGGAAAUCUUGAGUCCGGAAGAGGUGAGUGGAACUCCUAGUGUAGAGGUGGAAUUCGUAGAUAUUAGGAAGAACACCAGUGGCGAAGGCGGCUCACUGGUCCGGUACUGACGCUGAGGCACGAAAGCGUGGGUAGCGAACAGG